RNAcentral lists this long non-coding RNA (832 nucleotides) under Fukomys damarensis (Damara mole-rat). RNAcentral describes it as "lncRNA (ENSFDAG00000026270.1)". Lineage: Eukaryota; Metazoa; Chordata; Mammalia; Rodentia; Bathyergidae. The record is from RNAcentral.
CCCGUCGGCCCUCGCGGUGCGCGUGCGCCUCGGAACAGGUAAUCCCCGCGCUACACGUCCUUCGCCGGCUCUCGCGGUGCGCGUGCGCGUCCCGAACAGGUGGUGCGUGCGCCCACGCCCUUCCCGCACAAUCACUCGCUGUCCCCUCCACGCUCAGCACCGGUUACGGGGGCUUGCGGGGCCUGCGCUCCAUCUGCUGUAGGCCCGGCGCAGGUUGCCUCGUCUGCACUUAGCGUCUUGGGUUUAAGGGGAGAAGGGCGGGACAGGACAGGGUGUGACUUCCGCCUUGGCACCUGGGAUUUGUAAUUUAUUUCUGGAUCUUUCUCCUUGGGGAUUGGGGGGUUAAAAGAUCGUGGGAAGGGGCUCAGGCAACUGAAAAUAAGAAAGAAAGACCCUCAUACCUUUGGGGCUCAUUUCCCAAAAGAAGCUCAGAAUGUCUGUUUUCGUUAGUACUAAUUAGACGAAAACUACUGUACUGAAAAUGAUAAAGCUUCAGUGAGCAGACAAGAUUACGAAAAUGAAGAAAGGUAAACAGUAGCUACACAGCUGAUUAGCAGCCCAGAUGUAACUAGUCCAGCAGUCCUAAAUGUGCCGCACACCCCGCUGCACCUCCCUCCCUCCCUCCCCGAGCCCAGGGCCGCUUCCUCCGGAGAACGUUCAAGCUCAGCACUGGAUCUGUAACCCUGGUGUUGCUUGCCUCCUUUGCUGUGGACUUAAUGUUGACGUUAAAGAUUUCCCAAAGCUAAUAAUUGAAUGCGAAUUAAUAAGUUGCUCAGAAAAUGGCUACUCAUCAGGUGAAGUUGCUUCAAAAACUACAGAAAAUGUUGAGUAA